AGCAGUAGCCACGGUAAUACGUAGGGUGCGAGCGUUAAUCGGAAUUACUGGGCGUAAAGCGUGCGCAGGCGGUUUUGUAAGACAGGCGUGAAAUCCCCGGGCUCAACCUGGGAAUGGCGCUUGUGACUGCAAAGCUAGAGUGCGGCAGAGGGGGAUGGAAUUCCGCGUGUAGCAGUGAAAUGCGUAGAUAUGCGGAGGAACACCGAUGGCGAAGGCAAUCCCCUGGGCCUGCACUGACGCUCAUGCACGAAAGCGUGGGGAGCAAACAGGAUUAGAUACCCCUGUAGUCCCUGUCUCUUAUAA
RNAcentral lists this ribosomal RNA (303 nucleotides) under uncultured bacterium. RNAcentral's name for it is "partial 16S ribosomal RNA". It matches the Rfam family "Bacterial small subunit ribosomal RNA", at positions 507 to 809 of the family's 1533-position model. The record is from RNAcentral.